UUUCCUUUGAAGACCACCUGGCUACCAAUAACGGUCUCACCAGCCAAAUCCUGUAUUUGUGGGCCAAGACAGAAGAAGAACAACAAUGAAAAAAAGCUGGAAAUCUUAGAGCAGACUCACAUCUUAACUAGGAGAAUACGUGCUGGCCCAAGUGCCCCAGGACUGAAGCAAAUCAGACAUAGGGGAGGAGGGAGAAUGUUAGAAUGAGGCACACCUGAUUCAGCCGCUAAAUAGUCUGGUUGGCUAAGAAUCACAAUCGAGGCAUUUUGCCUUUCUAGUUUUCUUUGGUGAAGAUCUGUGAGCAUCCAAAUGAUAUGAAGAGCAAUAUGGCUAAUCUGCACUACUUCGGAAGCCUGGGAGGAAUACUUCCUCUUUGCUGGAUGUGGCGUCUGCGUGUACCAUCUGGAAUUGCUGUAGCCAACUUACAAAUACAGACGAAAGCUUUAUCAACCUGCUGAGCACAGCAGAAUGGAAAGAUGCAAAGCACCCUGCUCUUGGGAACUGGCCACCUUCAGACUUCUUGCUACAUCAGGUUUUAUCUACUACAAAGGAUAUCACUUGGGAAGGAAUUUCUUGAAACUGCUCCCAAGAGAGCCAUUGGACCAUGUGGUAAACAACUCCUAGCUGAUGGAUUAUUGGGAAUAUUAACAUCAUCCAGAAUGCUAUGGGGAGAAGACAACUGGAAGCUCCGUGUGGACAAACCUCCUGGACUCUGCCCCACAUAUCUCUUCCCUUGGCUGAUUUGAAUUUUUAGAAGCUGACAGCUGACACGCCCUUCCUUUGUGCAUUUUAUCCUGGGACAAAAUGAGAAGACAUCCUUCAGUUCCCAUCUUGGAUGGCAUAACUUCAAAACCAAGGGAGAUGGAGGAGUUUUAGAGGAGUAGAAGGCUGCAAGCAAGAACUGAUGCAUUACAUCUCCAGUCACCUCACUCUAAGAUUGUCCUGUAGCUAAGACUGUUGAAUGAGACUGUUGUUCUUCAGUUUGCAGCCACAAAGCACGGAGGCAUCUCCCCAAGAAUCCACUGCAGGGAGGAUGAACAGCCCUUACCUGGAUUUUUGCUUUAUCUAAAAAUAUAUUUGUAGAAGAAGGAGCAUUCUAGUUUCCAAAUACAAAGGGCAAUCUCCUUCUCUGUGUGUGCACGUGCAAACAAACACACUUCUACAAGUAAGCAUUCUUCUUUAUUAUCAUAGUCAUCAUCAUCACUGGGUUGGCAACUAAAAACAAAACUACAAAACUCUCAUGUUAGCAGUUGAGUAACUUUUAAUAACCAGAUACAAACCAUUCUUCAUUGUUUACAAGGGGCAUUAAAAAGAAAAGGAGGUUGAACUGCAAUGUGAAGUGUAGUUAAAUAUGUAGACAUCUUGGAUUCUAGAAGAGUUUGUAAUGGAUUAAAGGGUUAAGCUAUGAAAUUGUUGCCCUCUGUGAUUUUUCCACACUAGAACAGACUGACAUGGUUUGAAGCAGUUGGGCUUUAACCUAUAGAUAGGAGGACAGAGAUGAUUGCCUAUGAAGCAAUUAUUAAAUAGCUGCAUUUUGGCAUGUUCUAGUUGAAAAGAUUUAGUUUUACCUAUAUCACCUCAUCAUCACUAAUUUAAUCAUCCUCAGAAAAUGCAAAAAUAAUGAUGUACAUUUGACAAGUCUUAUACAAAAUUAUGUUUCAUAGCUUUGUGGUCAGAAUUAAGCCAUGUUCUAAAAUACAAAUGAAUAGUUUACAGCCCACUAAUUCCUAACUGUAAGUGUUAAGUCUAUAUAAAAAUAAGAGACAAGCUUGUGAUCAGGAAUAGCUUCCAAUUAUGAAAAAUUUAAAUAAAAAUAAUAGAAUGUGCUUAAUUUAUUUAUCAUAUACAAAGUAGACAUAUGUGACCAAAAUGAUUCAUUAUUUUUACGAUUUUCAUGGGAAUAAGUUUGACAAUAUU
RNAcentral lists this long non-coding RNA (1917 nucleotides) under Homo sapiens (human). RNAcentral's name for it is "HSALNT0249023". The record is from RNAcentral. Lineage: Eukaryota; Metazoa; Chordata; Mammalia; Primates; Hominidae.